RNAcentral lists this long non-coding RNA (297 nucleotides) under Gossypium barbadense (sea-island cotton). RNAcentral describes it as "long non-coding RNA (GBAR_LNC004466)". Lineage: Eukaryota; Viridiplantae; Streptophyta; Magnoliopsida; Malvales; Malvaceae. The record is from RNAcentral.
GAUCAGUUAGAGAUUCGUAAGUUACUCGCAGGACCCUCACGAUAUCCUUACAUAAUUCUUACCUUUUGCAACUUCAAACAUCAGACAUAGGCUUCCACAGAGUAGAAUAGUAACCCCUAAACGUUGAACCACAGAAAACUCAUCAAGAUCUUUCCAUCUAGUUCAUUUCCUUUCUCACUUGAACACCAGAAUUGUAUAACAAAGCUUUACCAUUUCAUUACUAAGCUAAAUAUAUUUUCUCUCAUAGCAGUAAGGCUACAAAACUUACCUUAACAUAGGCAUCUUAGAGCUCACCCU